GAUGAAGAACGUAGCGAAACGCGAUAAGUAAUGUGAAUUGCAGAAUCCAGUGAAUCAUCGAAUCUUUGAACGCACAUUGCGCCCGCCAGCAUUCUGGCGGGCAUGCCUGUUCGAGCGUCAUUUCAACCCUCGACCUCCCCUUGGGGAGGUCGGCGUUGGGGACCGGCAGCACACCGCCGGCCCUGAAAUGGAGUGGCGGCCCGUCCGCGGCGACCUCUGCGCAGUAAUACAGCUCGCACCGGGACCCCGACGCGGCCACGCCGUAAAACACCCAACUUCUGAACGUUGACCUCGAAUCAGGUAGGACUACCCGCUGAACUUAAGCAUAUCAGUAAGCGGAGGA
This 343-nucleotide unclassified non-coding RNA is filed under the name soil metagenome. RNAcentral's name for it is "partial contains 5.8S ribosomal RNA, internal transcribed spacer 2, and large subunit ribosomal RNA". The stretch from base 1 to 120 matches the Rfam family "5.8S ribosomal RNA", at positions 35 to 154 of the family's 154-position model. The record is from RNAcentral.